CUGGACACUUCCACCAUUGAUUGUCUCUAAUUAUUGAGCUUGAAAAUCGCUACGCUCCACAAGUAAUAGAUUAUUUUUUUUCAACAUGUAAAUGCACUUGUAUAACAGUUUGGUUGAGAAGAAUUGGAAAUAAUAAUGGAGUCAUGGCUUAUCCUCAUUAUCAUCCUCAUCCUCACUUUCUUCAUCUCUUUCUUCCUCAAAUCCAAUAAACAGAAGAAAUUUCCACCAGGACCCUCUGUUUUCUCUGUGAUUACCAGCUUCCUACGCGCUGAUGCUGAUAUAGAACUCAUCGCGAGGGACCUCAAGACUAAAUAUGGUCCUAUUUUCAAUUUGAGAAUUGGAAUUGGAAUUGCAUUUCGUCGUCCUUCCAUAUUUGUUGCUAGCCACUCAUUAGCCUAUCAAGCUUUAGUUCAGCAAGGUGUUGUUUUCUCUGACAGGCCAAAGGCUGCUCAGACCAGUGUAUCCAUUCACAGUAACCGAAUUAUCCUAACCACCCUCCCCUAUGGCCCAACAUGGCGCCUCCUUCGUCGAAACAUUGUAUCAGUUAUCCUCCACCCUUCUCGCACUAAGUCCUACUCUAAUGUCCGAUCUCGGGUACUCUCUACCCUUAUUCAGCAGCUCCGUUCUGAUUCUGAAGCCACACAAGUGAUUACAUUAAUUGAACAUUUUCGUUUUUCCGUGUUCUGUCUUCUUGUCCUGAUGUGCUUCGGGGACAAGAUAGAUCAGCAUCAAGUCGAACAGAUAAAAGAUGUACAACGAAGAUGGAUUCAAACCAUGGGUCGAUUUGUUAAUCUCAGUUUCUUCCCAAGAAUAAUUCAAAAGUUCAUUUUCAGGAAUCAAUGGAAGGAGCUCAUGCAAUUGAUGCAGGAGCAAGAGAGUGUAUUUAUACCACUGAUCGAGGCUCGAAUGAAACCAAAAACCGAGGAAGAUGUGGUGGCUUAUGUGGAUACAUUGCUGGAUUUGGAAUUCCCUGAGGAAAAAAGGAAAGUUUAAUCAGGGAGAGAUUGUUAGCCUCUGCAGUGAGUUCCUCACCGGUGGCACCGAUACUACAUCCUCCUCAUUGCAAUGGAUUAUGGCUAACUUGGUUAAAUACCCUUGUAUUCAGGAAAAACUAUACCAAGAGAUAUGUGAGGUAAUGAGCAGAGGGAAUUCGAAGACGGAUGGAGUGACAGAGGAGGAGGAGAUAGUGAAAGAGGAAGAUCUAGAGAAAAUGCCUUACCUAAAAGCAGUGAUCUUGGAAGGUCUAAGGCGGCAUCCACCAGGUCACUUCCUGCAGCCACACACGGUGACCGAAGAAGUGGAACUCAACGGUUAUGUCAUCCCUAAGGAUGCACCAAUCAAUUUCAUGGUUGCGGAUAUGGGAUUGGAUCCACUAGUGUGGGAGAAUCCCUUGGAUUUCAAUCCAGAUAGGUUCUUAUCAAGUGAUGAUACAGAAGCGUUUGAUAUAAUAGGGAAUAAAGAGAUUAAGAUGAUGCCUUUUGGUGCAGGAAGAAGAGUAUGUCCAGGCUAUCUCUUGGCUCUGCUCCAUUUAGAGUACUUUGUGGCUAAUUUGGUCUGGCAUUUUGAGUGGAAGCCUGUGGAUGGAAACAAUGUUGAUCUAUCUGAGAAGCUCGAAUUCAGCGUUACAAUGAAGAAUCCAUUGUGUGCUCACAUCCGUCCCAGAGUAAACAAACUUGAAUGAGCUACCUGCUAAUGUUGUUUGUUUUUCUUUCUCUUGAAGUUUAGAUAUGGGUUGCAUCUCUAAUGCACAAACAGUUAAUGUAUGUUAAAUUCUAAAUUCAAGUGUUAAAAGUCAAACUUCAUGCUAAAAUAAUCAAAG
Molecule: RNA transcript, 1819 nt
Organism: Solanum stenotomum
Lineage: Eukaryota; Viridiplantae; Streptophyta; Magnoliopsida; Solanales; Solanaceae
Gene name: cytochrome P450 89A2-like
Exons: 1
Source: RefSeq, a predicted model, not a curated record